AUGAACGCUGGCGGCGUGCCUAAUACAUGCAGGUCGAGCGAACAGAUGAGGAGCUUGCUCCUCUGACGUUAGCGGCGGACGGGUGAGUAACACGUGGAUAACCUACCUAUAAGACUGGGAUAACUUCGGGAAACCGGAGCUAAUACCGGAUAAUAUAUUGAACCGCAUGGUUCAAUAGUGAAAGACGGUUUUGCUGUCACUUAUAGAUGGAUCCGCGCCGCAUUAGCUAGUUGGUAAGGUAACGGCUUACCAAGGCAACGAUGCGUAGCCGACCUGAGAGGGUGAUCGGCCACACUGGAACUGAGACACGGUCCAGACUCCUACGGGAGGCAGCAGUAGGGAAUCUUCCGCAAUGGGCGAAAGCUUGACGGAGCAACGCCGCGUGAGUGAUGAAGGUCUUCGGAUCGUAAAACUCUGUUAUUAGGGAAGAACAAAUGUGUAAGUAACUAUGCACGUCUUGACGGUACCUAAUCAGAAAGCCACGGCUAACUACGUG
RNAcentral lists this ribosomal RNA (496 nucleotides) under uncultured bacterium. Its description in RNAcentral is "partial 16S ribosomal RNA". It matches the Rfam family "Bacterial small subunit ribosomal RNA", at positions 29 to 507 of the family's 1533-position model. The record is from RNAcentral.